AGAAAACUGCGCCGUACACUGGCAAGACAACAGAAGUGAACUUCAAUGAUGUAAUAAUCAGAAAGACAGAAGUUCUAUAUUUUGACUACGCAGUGAUAUCUUUGGCAAGUAACAAGACGACAUCUUCGCAACGGUUGAAAUUUAUGACUGAUCGAACUUCAUGUAAGUUAAAAGACAAAGACUAUUUAAGGAUAGGUACAUUAAGGGCAAAUAGGUAGAUCUUGGAUUUUGAGAGGCCCGAUGUUUAUAACCUGCAGAAUCGUUCACAGAGAGCUUUUGAGAUUGAAACCUGUUGCGAAAAUUUUAUUUACAACAGUCGAGAUGCGAUCUUGCUAAUAGGCGGUCCAGCUCAGUUCCCAUUUUAAUGCAAAAUGAAAUUUAGUAGGAAAUAAUGCAACAGGCGGGAUCUCGCCUAAACUGGCCAGCUCAUGGUACCCGGGCUAGCUCUCAGGCUCGCCCCAUUUAAACAGCCCCUAAUACUGUGCUGUUUUUACCACAUUAAAAGUAAUUUCUGUUUUUCAUUGUAAAGCUACGAAAUGCAGUAUUAUUGGUGGGGUUACAUAUAUAUCAUGGAGACCGCAAUGGAACUGUUUUGACGAGAAUAUAAUCGAACAAGCACAAUUCUGUUUCUACGAUGGUCCGUGUUUCCCUGUGUGUGAAGCUUCGUUUUUCGCGAAUGGAACUUUUCGUGCAGCACGAACUUACGAGGAUGAAAUCAUUAACGUUUGCCGCAAACGAGACGACGACUGCAAGUUUAUAUCCGAUCAAGAUUCUACUAAAAUUAACAAUGUUUCUAAUAAAUUUAUCAAUGUUUUGUGGUCACCUGAAACUCGGAGAAUAACUUGUGCUUUGUUCAGGACUUGUAUGCAUUAUACUUACACAUUUUCAGUCAAGGCAUUCUCAUUCAAUGAUGGAAGAGAGAGGAUACUAGAUAAUGUUGACGUCUGCCGUGAAAACAC
This is a non-coding RNA of Paramuricea clavata, 959 nucleotides long. The record is from the annotation of a GenBank genome assembly. Lineage: Eukaryota; Metazoa; Cnidaria; Anthozoa; Malacalcyonacea; Plexauridae.